AAAAAGUAUUAGAGGCACUGCCUGCCCAGUGACACACGUUAAACGGCCGCGGUAUCCUGACCGUGCAAAGGUAGCAUAAUCACUUGUUCCUUAAAUAGGGACUUGCAUGAAUGGCUAGACGAGGGUUAAUCUGUCUCUUACUUUAAAUCAGUGAAAUUGACCUUCCCGUGAAGAGGCGGGAAUAUACAAACAAGACGAGAAGACCCUAUGGAGCUUAAAUUUAUUAAUCCAAGUAACCUUUUACCCUCAGUCUACAAGACAUAACACUCUUAUCUAUGGAUUAAAAAUUUCGGUUGGGGUGACCUCGGAGCACAACCUAACCUCCGAAUGAUCUUAAUUCAGACUCAAACCCGUCUAAAUCUUUGCUCAUAAAUUGACCCAAACCAUUGAUCAACGGAACAAGUUACCCUAGGGAUAACAGCGCAAUCCUACUCGAGAGUCCAUAUCGACAGUAGGGUUUACGACCUCGAUGUUGGAUCAGGACAUCCAAAUGGUGCAGCAGCUAUUAAUGGUUCGUUUGUUCAACGAUUAAAGUC
RNAcentral lists this ribosomal RNA (536 nucleotides) under Rhinosciurus laticaudatus (shrew-faced squirrel). RNAcentral's name for it is "partial 16S ribosomal RNA". It matches the Rfam family "Bacterial large subunit ribosomal RNA", at positions 1838 to 2595 of the family's 2925-position model. The record is from RNAcentral. Lineage: Eukaryota; Metazoa; Chordata; Mammalia; Rodentia; Sciuridae.